This 206-nucleotide long non-coding RNA is filed under the name Erythranthe guttata (spotted monkey flower). RNAcentral describes it as "long non-coding RNA (EGUT_LNC000336)". The record is from RNAcentral. Lineage: Eukaryota; Viridiplantae; Streptophyta; Magnoliopsida; Lamiales; Phrymaceae.
UAAUUGACUCGGGAAGUUAAGGAAGGCAGUUGCGGAGCGGUUGGCAUCAGCAAUGGCUUAGAAAACCGUCCCUUUAUGUUGUAUUAGUGAGCCAAGUGGCUGGCCUGCAUGCCGCCAUGUGUCCCUUGACAGUUUAGUGUGUAAACUGCAUUGUAACUUGUAUUUAUAGGCCCUAGAGUGCACAAAUCCGACCCAUUCAGAUAGAG